AUGUUCAGUACCUUUCUUGUGAAGAGGUCGCAUGCAUCUUUGUCUUGUAGACCGUUGAGCAGCCGUAUGCAUUCUGGUUUCUUGCAACAAUGUUUAGCAAUAUCAUGUCGCCUUGUGGUGAUCACUAUGAUCAAAUUUGCAUUUUUCCUUCCAAGUAAACUCUGCACUAUCAUAUCCCAUUCAGCGGUAGAGGAUAGGUCAUCAAGAACAAUCAAGCACCUCUUUCCUUCUGAAAGCCUGGCCAACACUCGAGUCAACUCUGCAACUCCCAUCAAAGCAAGCUUUCCAUUGGUCACCAGCAAAGUCCAGGGCGUCUUCCCUUACAACUAG
Molecule: ribosomal RNA, 330 nt
Filed under: Triticum aestivum (bread wheat)
Lineage: Eukaryota; Viridiplantae; Streptophyta; Magnoliopsida; Poales; Poaceae
Description: partial small subunit ribosomal RNA
Source: RNAcentral